Long non-coding RNA from Formica exsecta, 1753 nucleotides. RefSeq lists it as uncharacterized. NCBI's taxonomy places the organism in Eukaryota, Metazoa, Arthropoda, Insecta, Hymenoptera, Formicidae. The record is from RefSeq and is a predicted model, not a curated record. The transcript is spliced from 3 exons.
UUGUUCUCUAUAUCUAAUUUUCUUCUAACACUAACUGUAUAUUUUCUCGUCGUUGUUCCGGUUAGAUUUCUUCUUCACAUGGUCGGUUGAUCGUCGCAGUAUCUGAGAGGUAGUCGACAUCGUAAAGUUGUUUCGUGCCUACGAGUCGCACGCCUACCACCAAAUGCAAAAUCCAUUUCCGUCUAACCAGGAAACUUUUAACAAGCCGCAUUCAAAGUAUGUGUGUUCCAUGUAAAAGUUAUCCGGUACACCGACAAGUACAUACAUCACACGAAGGUGGAACGCGAGGAUCGCGAACGAUAAUUACUUCGUGCCGAGACUCGCGAUUUAGGGAAAUUGUGUUUACAGUCUUAGCGAUUUUAAAGGAAAUUCGACUUAAUGAAACGACAUUAAUCAUCAUUCAUCAUGGACAAGUCGGGGAAAUACUAUUUCCUUGUUUUAUAUAUAUCACAUAUUUAUUACUUGUAUUAUUAUUUCAUAUUUUAAUCAAAUUUUAAUCCAUAUAUUAUGUAUUUCUAUUUUAAUGAAGAAGAGCAAAUAAUGUUGCCCAACAAUGUAUGUGUGUCAUAUUUGAACAUAUCACGUUGAUGAAGUACAGCGACCGAUGCCAAUGGUUAGCUUGUCUACGUGCAAGUGGGUCAGUACAAACAUCUUGAAGACAUUUAAACUUAGUUCCGAUUAACUCUCUCAGAGGAUUCUCGUGCAUAGUGUCUACUAUAUGUUGAAUACGGUUUCUGCGAAUAGGUAGAAACUUUGGCUAGGACUGAUAUGCGGAGAUGCAUGGAAGCGCAUCGUCGCGAUCUCUUGAACUGAUUGCAAACUAAUAUUCCGUUAAACUCACUGCAAAUUAUAACAGCGACAUUAAUGACGGAUAUUAUUAAAUUUAGAACGUUUAAUUAAACGUGAAAAAUGGUGAUGUUAGAGAAACAUAGAAAGAGAAGAUGCACGAGCUGUCAAAGAAUUUCUUGGCAUUUGAUGUGAAUCCGCAAGCGCUUUGCGGAAUUCAAAUACUACGCCCAAUGUCCGAUAUACAAACAUCCAGUAUUCAAUAGAAGAUAUUGUAUUCUAAGAAAAAUUUAACGAGCAAUAUUUUUAUUUCUACUAUUAAUUACAUCUUUGUAUGUGACAUAAAUCUCAUUGCGAUAAAUUAAUCAAUAAGGACCGAUACAAUAAAUCCAAUUAUGAUUAAGAGUCUCUUGUAUGUCUUAUAAACCAAGUCAUGGACAUAGAAAGAUAGAGCUGGCAUUCCAUGCAAUUUUCAAUAUUACACAUCGGAUCAGAUAUCAUGGAAGAAGAGAAAAGAAAAAGAGAAAUAGUAGAUUUUUUUUAUUAUUUACAAUAGACAAGCACGUAUUCGAUGUGCACAGAUUAGAAAAUCAGCACAUGAUCCAAUGUUCCCCCAACAUACAUGUAUAUUUGCCAAAUAUAUAUGUAUAUAAACGAUGUACACAAAUAUGACGCAUCGAAUGCUCGUCGAGAUACGAUGGCGUUACAAAUAUUUUCGUAUUAUAGCAACGUAUUUAGUAAUUAGUAUAGUUUUUUCAAUCAAAGAGAGAGGAGUGAAAACUUGUGAAAGCGCAGGAAAUACAAGUGACACAAAAUUCCAAAAGUAUUAAAGGGAGAGAAAUACAUGUCAUUUAAAACUGAUAUCAUGUAGAACAAUUGUUAUUCCGGUGCAGUGUACAUAAAAAAUUAGCGAAAAGAGCAUGGUUCGGUAAAACGUUAUUUUUUACAGAGCUAUUAAUUUUUUAUA